CUUUUUUAGAACAAGUGUUAAAAAAGCCAGUAAAUUCUUCGAUUUCUAAUACAAACAAGAAGUAUUUAUCAUCAAUCCGAAGAUACAAAGAUUUUAUACCAACGAGGAAGAUGGCUGUAGUUAGAUAUUCUUAUUCAGAUGCAAAGUGGAAAGGUCAACCAAAAGCACCACUAUUUCCGUCAAUCAACUUGGUUGUCAAUCGGGACAAGCAGUUGUUAAGACCAUUCUCUGUCCGGGGAAAACAUGUUGACCUUGAGAAUGCAUCAUUGGCGAAAG
This is a long non-coding RNA of Mytilus trossulus (common blue mussel), 276 nucleotides long. RefSeq lists it as uncharacterized. Lineage: Eukaryota; Metazoa; Mollusca; Bivalvia; Mytilida; Mytilidae. The transcript has 4 exons. The record is from RefSeq and is a predicted model, not a curated record.